Molecule: long non-coding RNA, 267 nt
Filed under: Setaria viridis
Lineage: Eukaryota; Viridiplantae; Streptophyta; Magnoliopsida; Poales; Poaceae
Description: long non-coding RNA (SVIR_LNC003544)
Source: RNAcentral
CGCCGUCAGGUGCCGCUGCGCCGUGAGCCUCCGGCCCCGCCGCCGCCUUGUAAGGGGACUACCGGAUCUAGGCGCGGCGACUGGAUCUAGGACCGGAGGUGGGGAGGGGGCGGCGGAGAGCAGGCGCGGCCGCCGGAGGUGGGGAGGGGGCGAUGGAGAGGAGGCGGGAGGCUGCGGAGAGGAGCAGUAAAGCAGGUAGGGUUAGGGUCUUGGGGAUGGAUGGUGGGUGCUGCGGGAGCUGGAUGCUGGACGGAGAGGAGGGAGGGG